This 165-nucleotide ribosomal RNA is filed under the name Escherichia coli. RNAcentral describes it as "partial 16S ribosomal RNA". It matches the Rfam family "Bacterial small subunit ribosomal RNA", at positions 1 to 157 of the family's 1533-position model. RNAcentral also lists the same sequence under 5 other names. Lineage: Bacteria; Pseudomonadati; Pseudomonadota; Gammaproteobacteria; Enterobacterales; Enterobacteriaceae. The record is from RNAcentral.
UUAAAUUGAAGAGUUUGAUCAUGGCUCAGAUUGAACGCUGGCGGCAGGCCUAACACAUGCAAGUCGAACGGUAACAGGAAGCAGCUUGCUGCUUCGCUGACGAGUGGCGGACGGGUGAGUAAUGUCUGGGAAACUGCCUGAUGGAGGGGGAUAACUACUGGAAAC